CCCUUAGACACUCUAGGCGGCACGCGCGCUACACUGGGUGGAAGAACGUGUUACUGCCAUCGAAAGGUGGGGUGAAUCACGAAUUCUUGCCCGUGGAUGGGAUAGUUUGUUGCAAUUUUCGGACUUGAACUAGGAAUCCCUUGUAAGCAUGCUCAAGAAUAGCGUGUUGAAUACGUCCCUGCCGUUUGUACACACCGCCCGUCGUUUCUUCCGACUGAUACUCAUUGUGAGUUGCAAGGAUCCUUCAUUGGAGAAUUGCCGCGAAUGCUUUGUAUUGGAGGAAGAAAAAGUCGUAACA
Molecule: ribosomal RNA, 298 nt
Filed under: uncultured eukaryote
Lineage: Eukaryota
Description: partial 18S ribosomal RNA
Rfam family: Eukaryotic small subunit ribosomal RNA
Source: RNAcentral